CAGCAGCCACGGUAAUACGAAGGGGGCUAGCGUUGCUCGGAAUUAUUGGGCGUAAAGGGUGCGUAGGCGGCUUGACAAGUCUUGUGUGAAAUCUAUGGGCUCAACCCAUAGUCUGCACGGGAAACUGUCGGGCUUGAGAAUGGGAGAGGUGAGUGGAAUUUCCGGUGUAGCGGUGAAAUGCGUAGAUAUCGGAAGGAACACCUGUGGCGAAAGCGGCUCACUGGACCAUUUCUGACGCUGAUGCACGAAAGCUAGGGGAGCAAACAGGAUUAGAUACCCCUGUAGUCCCUGUCUCUUAUAC
RNAcentral lists this ribosomal RNA (301 nucleotides) under uncultured bacterium. RNAcentral describes it as "partial 16S ribosomal RNA". It matches the Rfam family "Bacterial small subunit ribosomal RNA", at positions 509 to 807 of the family's 1533-position model. The record is from RNAcentral.